AACCUUAUGGACCUGCGGGCGUAUACCUGCGGAAGGAUCAUUAAAAAGAGUGUGUACCCCCCUGUAAAAUGGGUGGGUUACCUCCCGUCCUUUGUUGACCUCUUAGGAGGUUAUUUUGAACUUUUCUGCUUCGGUGGGGUUAAACCUACCGGAACACCCUCAAAUUCUGAUCAUUUAAAAAUUGUUCAGUCCGAUUUUUGUUAAUAAAAACAAAAAACUUUUAGCAACGGAUCUCAGAUC
This 240-nucleotide unclassified non-coding RNA is filed under the name soil metagenome. Its description in RNAcentral is "partial contains 5.8S ribosomal RNA, internal transcribed spacer 2, and large subunit ribosomal RNA". The record is from RNAcentral.